This 220-nucleotide unclassified non-coding RNA is filed under the name Hevea brasiliensis (rubber tree). Lineage: Eukaryota; Viridiplantae; Streptophyta; Magnoliopsida; Malpighiales; Euphorbiaceae. The record is from RNAcentral.
ACUUCCUGCAUCAGGACGGCAACCGCAUCGAACUGCCGCAGGCGUUCUUCAUGCGCGUGGCGAUGGGCCUUGCGAUCCGCGAGAUCGACCGCGAGACGCGCGCCAUCGAGUUCUACAACCUGCUGUCGUCGUUCGACUUCAUGGCCUCGACGCCGACGCUGUUCAACUCCGGUACGCUGCGGCCGCAGCUCUCGUCCUGCUUCCUGACCACGGUGGCCGA